RNAcentral lists this unclassified non-coding RNA (423 nucleotides) under Hevea brasiliensis (rubber tree). Lineage: Eukaryota; Viridiplantae; Streptophyta; Magnoliopsida; Malpighiales; Euphorbiaceae. The record is from RNAcentral.
UCCAAACCCACCAACAACCAAACCAAUUUCUUGAACCUUUCAAGCAAUGAUAACUCGAGCUUUGAUAAGUGGAGAGCUACUGUUUCUUUCUUUCCUGCCUUCUUGAAAAAGGGCAAGGAUGCUAAGGUCCUCAAAGAAGAGCUUCUUGAAGCAAUUGCUCCUCUUGAUCGUGGAGCUGAGGCUACUCCUGAAGACCAGCAGGCAGUUGAUGAGAUUGCGCGCAAACUUGAAGCAGUUAAUCCAACAAAGGAGCCACUCAAAUCUGAUUUACUAAAUGGGAAAUGGGAGCUUAUUUACACUACUUCACAAUCAAUUCUGCAAACCCAGAGACCUAAAUUCUUAAGAUCCAUAACAAAUUACCAAGCAAUCAAUGUGGAUACACUUAGGGCCCAGAACAUGGAGUCUUGGCCAUUCUUCAACCAG